This 138-nucleotide ribosomal RNA is filed under the name Astragalus scorpioides. RNAcentral describes it as "partial 18S ribosomal RNA". It matches the Rfam family "Eukaryotic small subunit ribosomal RNA", at positions 1699 to 1831 of the family's 1831-position model. Lineage: Eukaryota; Viridiplantae; Streptophyta; Magnoliopsida; Fabales; Fabaceae. The record is from RNAcentral.
CGGUGAAGUGUUCGGAUUGCGGCGACGUGGGCGGUUCGCUGCCCGCGACGUUGUGAGAAGUCCACUGAACCUUAUCAUUUAGAGGAAGGAGAAGUCGUAACAAGGUUUUCCGUAGGUGAACCUGCGGAAGGAUCAUUG